RNAcentral lists this ribosomal RNA (449 nucleotides) under uncultured bacterium. RNAcentral's name for it is "bacterial SSU rRNA". It matches the Rfam family "Bacterial small subunit ribosomal RNA", at positions 355 to 796 of the family's 1533-position model. The record is from RNAcentral.
UCGAGGAUCAUUCGCAAUGGGCGAAAGCCUGACGAUGCGACGCUGUGUGAACGAUGAAGGCCUUCGGGUUGUAAAGUUCUUUCGCCUGGGAACAAGAGAGAGCAGUGAACAACUGUUCAAUUUGAGGGUACUAGGUAAAGAAGCACCGGCUAACUCCGUGCCAGCAGCUGCGGUAAUACGGAGGGUGCAAGCAUUAAUCGGAAUUAUUGGGCGUAAAGGGCGCGUAGGCGGAUUUGUAAGUCAGAUGUGAAAUUCCGAGGCUCAACUUCGGAGCUGCAUCUGAAACUACAAACCUGGAGGGAUGGCGGAGAAAAUGGAAUUCCACGUGUAGCGGUGAAAUGCGUAGAUAUGUGGAGGAACACCUGUGGCGAAAGCGGUUUUCUAGCUAUUUCCUGACGCUGAGGCGCGAGAGCAAGGGGAGCAAACAGGAUUAGAUACCCCCGUAGUCC